This 201-nucleotide ribosomal RNA is filed under the name Gibbsiella quercinecans. RNAcentral's name for it is "partial 16S ribosomal RNA". It matches the Rfam family "Bacterial small subunit ribosomal RNA", at positions 1335 to 1533 of the family's 1533-position model. The record is from RNAcentral. Lineage: Bacteria; Pseudomonadati; Pseudomonadota; Gammaproteobacteria; Enterobacterales; Yersiniaceae.
CUAGUAAUCGUAGAUCAGAAUGCUACGGUGAAUACGUUCCCGGGCCUUGUACACACCGCCCGUCACACCAUGGGAGUGGGUUGCAAAAGAAGUAGGUAGCUUAACCUUCGGGAGGGCGCUUACCACUUUGUGAUUCAUGACUGGGGUGAAGUCGUAACAAGGUAACCGUAGGGGAACCUGCGGUUGGAUCACCUCCUUACC